GCACUUCUCCCGGCUUGCAAAGCGGUAGGGAGACGAUCGGGCCGCUGGCCGCUGUCUCGGCGUUCAGCAAUAGAGGCCUUCCCGGAUCUCCCGAGAGGCGGGGAGCGAGCCUGGGUCCAGCAGCCUUCUCCCUCCCGAGAACAGCAGAAAGGGGGGACUCGACAGAAUGACCUCUGUUUCCCCAAGGAAGUGCACUCUGACGAUAACCUCGGGAGGGACGAGAAGGGCCGCUCUUUCGGAGAGCGGCCGCCGCCCCUGGAGUAGGGGACUCAGUGGCCACGAAGGCCUUCCCUGCUCGCGACCUUUCCACGGGAAGGCACGAAGCUUCCGAUGGGGGCCCCGGGGCGCUCCUGACUUUUCUACGGCGCGAGGGCUCUGACUCUGCGGUUCAGGUUUGAAAGUCCUUUGGAAGCUCGCAAGUGGUGGUCUCCCACCACCUCCUCGGUCAUCGCAGGAAGAAGGCGCAGUGAGGGCGGGAGUCUGGAUGAGCGGAGAGUAGCCACCGCGGAGAAGAGUGCGGGCUUGCAGGAGCCGACGAAGAUAACUCGAAAUGUGGGCAGGAAGAAGAGUGCUGAUCUGCUGCUUCCAGUCCGCUGGGCUGGAGAGCAGAAAGAGGCUACUUGAUCCCAGCCAAGCCAGUGUCUGUCCCCCAGCAAGCACUUCUGCCUUGGUGUGAUCCCCAUUCCUUUUC
RNAcentral lists this long non-coding RNA (691 nucleotides) under Homo sapiens (human). RNAcentral's name for it is "non-protein coding lnc-KPNA4-1:6". The record is from RNAcentral. Lineage: Eukaryota; Metazoa; Chordata; Mammalia; Primates; Hominidae.